AAGUCUGGUUCCCGAGCAAGGUCUGGGGAUGAGGGGCUGCCUGCCCUCAUGGCCAAUUUCUCGACUCUACUCUCUAGGUGGGCUCCAUCCCUGCCAAUGCUGCAGACGACGGACAGUGGUCACAGGGGCUGAUUUCUGCUGCCCGGAUGGUGGCGGCUGCGACCAGCAGUCUCUGUGAGGCGGCCAAUGCCUCCGUUCAGGGACACGCCAGCGAGGAGAAGCUCAUCUCAUCUGCCAAGCAGGUCGCCGCUUCCACGGCUCAGCUGCUGGUGGCCUGCAAGGUGAAGGCCGACCAGGAUUCAGAGGCCAUGAGGCGGCUACAGGCGGCAGGAAAUGCUGUGAAAAGAGCCUCAGACAAUCUUGUCCGUGCAGCCCAGAAGGCAGCAUUUGGCAAAGCUGAUGACGACGAUGUUGUAGUGAAAACCAAGUUUGUGGGGGGCAUUGCUCAGAUCAUCGCCGCCCAGGAAGAAAUGCUAAAGAAAGAGCGAGAACUGGAAGAAGCAAGGAAAAAACUGGCCCAAAUCCGCCAGCAGCAGUAUAAGUUUUUACCCACCGAGC
This 558-nucleotide small RNA is filed under the name Pan troglodytes (chimpanzee). RNAcentral describes it as "retained intron". Lineage: Eukaryota; Metazoa; Chordata; Mammalia; Primates; Hominidae. The record is from RNAcentral.